This 298-nucleotide ribosomal RNA is filed under the name uncultured eukaryote. RNAcentral's name for it is "partial 18S ribosomal RNA". It matches the Rfam family "Eukaryotic small subunit ribosomal RNA", at positions 1470 to 1796 of the family's 1831-position model. The record is from RNAcentral.
CCCUUAGACACUCUAGGCGGCACGCGCGCUACAAUGGGUGGAAGAACGUGUUACUGUCUCCGAAAGGAGGGGUGAAUCACGAAUUCUUGCCCGUGAAUGGGAUAGUUUGUUGCAAUUUUCGGACUUGAACUAGGAAUCCCUUGUAAACAUGCUCAAGAAUAGCGUGUUGAAUACGUCCCUGCCGUUUGUACACACCGCCCGUCGUUUCUUCCGACUGAUACUCAUUGUGAGUUGCAAGGACCCUUUAUUGGGAAAUUGCUGCAAAUGCUUUGUAUUGGAGGAAGAAAAAGUCGUAACA